AACGAACGCUGGCGGCAUGCCUAACACAUGCAAGUCGAACGAAGCCUUCGGGCUUAGUGGCGCACGGGUGCGUAACGCGUGGGAAUCUGCCUUGGGUUCGGAAUAACAGUUAGAAAUGACUGCUAAUACCGGAUGAUGUCUUCGGACCAAAGAUUUAUCGCCCAAGGAUGAGCCCGCGUAGGAUUAGGUAGUUGGUGGGGUAAUGGCCCACCAAGCCGACGAUCCUUAGCUGGUCUGAGAGGAUGAUCAGCCACACUGGGACUGAGACACGGCCCAGACUCCUACGGGAGGCAGCAGUGGGGAAUAUUGGACAAUGGGCGAAAGCCUGAUCCAGCAAUGCCGCGUGAGUGAUGAAGGCCUUAGGGUUGUAAAGCUCUUUUACCAGGGAUGAUAAUGACAGUACCUGGAGAAUAAGCUCCGGCUAACUCCGUGCCAGCAGCCGCGGUAAU
Molecule: ribosomal RNA, 449 nt
Filed under: uncultured bacterium
Lineage: Bacteria
Description: bacterial SSU rRNA
Rfam family: Bacterial small subunit ribosomal RNA
Source: RNAcentral